UACGAAGGGGGCUAGCGUUGCUCGGAAUCACUGGGCGUAAAGGGCGCGUAGGCGGCCGAUCAAGUCAGGGGUGAAAGCCUGUGGCUCAACCACAGAAUGGCCUUUGGUACUGUUCGGCUCGAGACCGGAAGAGGUUGGUGGAACUGCGAGUGUAGAGGUGAAAUUCGUAGAUAUUCGCAAGAACACCAGUGGCGAAGGCGGCCAACUGGUCCGGUUCUGACGCUGAGGCGCGAAAGCGUGGGGAGCAAACAGG
RNAcentral lists this ribosomal RNA (253 nucleotides) under uncultured bacterium. RNAcentral's name for it is "partial 16S ribosomal RNA". It matches the Rfam family "Bacterial small subunit ribosomal RNA", at positions 524 to 776 of the family's 1533-position model. The record is from RNAcentral.